RNAcentral lists this small nuclear RNA (317 nucleotides) under Myotis davidii. RNAcentral describes it as "7SK RNA". It matches the Rfam family "7SK RNA". Rfam says of the family: 7SK was discovered as an abundant small nuclear RNA in the mid-70s but a possible function has only recently been suggested. Two independent studies have found that 7SK RNA binds the CDK9/cyclin T complex (known as elongation factor P-TEFb). Lineage: Eukaryota; Metazoa; Chordata; Mammalia; Chiroptera; Vespertilionidae. The record is from Rfam by way of RNAcentral.
GGAUGUGAGGGCGAUCUGGCUGCGACAUCUGUCACCCCAUUGAUCGCCAGGGUUGAUUCGGCUGAUCUGGCUGGCUAGGCGGGUGUCCCCCUCCUCCCUCACCGAUCCAUGUGUGUCCCUCCCGAAGCUGCGAAGCUGCGCACUCGGUCGGUUGAAGAGGACGACCUUCCCCGCCGAGGAGAGGACCGGUCUUCGGUCAAGGGUAUACGAGUAGCUGCGCUCCCCAGCUAGAACCUCCAAACAAGCUCUCAAGAAACCUAGCUUUCAUUAUUUAAAAUAUACUUAAUGCUAGUACUAUGCAAAACAGUUUUAGAGUU